Non-coding RNA from Zonotrichia albicollis (white-throated sparrow), 317 nucleotides. Lineage: Eukaryota; Metazoa; Chordata; Aves; Passeriformes; Passerellidae. The record is from RefSeq and is a predicted model, not a curated record.
CCCUCCCCAAUCCCACCCGGCCCUGCUGUGCCCGCAGUUCCUGCAGCUCCGCAAGUCCGUAGUUCUCACCAGCAACUUCGCCAAGUCCGUGGUCAACCUGGCUGACAUGAUCUACAAGGAGCAGCUCAACACCCGCAUCGUGCUGGUGGCCAUGGAGACGUGGGCGGCCGAGGACCGCAUCCGGGUGGGACAGGACCCCCUGGAGACCCUGAACGAGUUUGUCAAGUACCGGCGGGAGGGGCUGGCAGAGCACAGCGACACCGUGCACCUCUUCUCGGGUUACACGUUCCAGAGCAGCCGCAGCGGCACCGCCUUUG